GGAAGCAAAUAAGGGCGUACGGGGGAUGCCUAGGCUCUCAGAGGCGACGAAGGACGUGGUAAGCUGCGAAAAGCUGCGGGGACUUGCAAACGAGGAUUGAUCCGCAGAUGUCCGAAUGGGGCAACCUAGCAGGCUGAAGGCCUGUUGUGAAAACGCGAACCCAGGGAACUGAAACAUCUAAGUACCUGGAGGAAAAGAGAACAAAUGUGAUUCCCUAAGUAGUGGCGAGCGAAAAGGGACAAGCCCAUUAAGUUAUGUAUAUUUUAGUGGAAUAAUUAUGGAAAGAUUAACCGGAGAGGGUGAAAGUCCCGUACACGAAAGGGUAUAUAUAAUGAAUUGAGUAGGGCGGAACUGGAGAAAUUCUGUCUGAAUAUACCAGCACCAUCUGGUAAGGCUAAAUACUCCUGAGAGACCGAUAGUGAACCAGUACCGUGAGGGAAAGGUGAAAAGAACCCCGAGCAGGGGAGUGAAAAGACCCUGAAACCGUACGUCUACAAGCGGUCGAAGAUUUUAGGAUCGACGGCGUGCCUUUUGCAUAAUGAGCCUACGAGUUAUACCUUUCUAGCGAGUUUAAGCACUUCAGGUGCGUAGGCGCAGCGAAAGCGAGUCUGAACAGGGCGAUAGCUAGGAGGGAUAGACGCGAAACCAAGUGAUCUACCCAUGGGCAGGUUGAAGUGUGGAUAGUCUCCCCAUGGAGGACCGAACCGGUAAACGUUGAAAAGUUUUCGGAUGACCUGUGGGUAGGGGUGAAAGGCUAAUCAAACUUGGAGAUAGCUCGUACUCCCCGAAAUGCAUUUAGGUGCAGCGUUGGGAAGAGUGUCAUGGAGGUAGAGCUACCAAUAGGGCUAGGGGGCUUCACCGCCUACCAACCCCUGAUGAACUCCGAAUGCCAUGACAUUGCACCAGCAGUGAGGCUACGGGUGCUAAGGUCCGUGGCCGAGAGGGAAAGAACCCAGACCAUCAGCUAAGGUCCCAAAAUCUAAACUAAGUUGAAUAAACGAUGUGGGGAUGCAGUGACAGCUAGGAUGUUUGCUUGGAAGCAGCAAUUCAUUUAAAGAGUGCGUAACAGCUCACUAGUCGAGCGUUCCUGCGCGGAAAAUGAUCGGGCAUCAAGUUUAGUACCGAAGCUAUGGACUCUACGGAGUGGUAGGGGAGCAUUCUAGCGACGCAGAAGCUGUACUGUGAGGUAUGGUGGAGUUUCUAGAAAAGAAAAUGUAGGCAUGAGUAACGAUAAUUCCGGUGAGAAACCGGAACGCCGUAAGACUAAGGUUUCCUGGCUCGAUGUUAAUCAGAACAGGGUUAGUCGGGGCCUAAGGCGAACCCGAGAGGGGUAGUUAAUGGACAACAGGUUAAUAUUCCUGUACUUGCAUCUACUAAAAAGGUGACGGAGCGAAGGAUUUGUCAGGUACUGACGGAAAUGUGCCUUUGAGGAGGACCUACGGGGAAUUCGAGACAAAGAAUGAGCUUCCAAGAAAAGCCGAAAGAUGCAACCCGUACCGUAAACCGACACAGGUAGUCGAGGAGAGUAUCCUAAGGCGCUCGAGUGAAUCGUGGUUAAGGAACUAGGCAAAAUAGCCCCGUAACUUCGGGAGAAGGGGCGCUCCUUGCAAGAGGAGCCGCAGUGAAAAGGCCCAAGCGACUGUUUAACAAAAACACAGGACUCUGCAAAAUCGCAAGAUGAAGUAUAGGGUCUGACACCUGCCCGGUGCUGGAAGGUUAAGGAAGGGAGUUAGUUUCGGCGAAGCUCUUGACUGAAGCCCCAGUAAACGGCGGCCGUAACUAUAACGGUCCUAAGGUAGCGAAAUUCCUUGUCGGGUAAGUUCCGACCUGCACGAAUGGUGUAACGAUUUGGGCACUGUCUCAACCACGAGCUCGGUGAAAUUGAAGUAUCGGUGAAGAUACCGGUUACCCGCAACGGGACGGAAAGACCCCGUGAACCUUUACUGCAGCUUCACGUUGAGCUUGAGCAUAAGAUGUGUAGGAUAGGUGGGAGACGUUGAAGGGCUGACGCUAGUUGGUUUGGAGUCGUCCUUGAAAUACCACCCUUUUUAUGCUUAGGUUCUAACCUGUAUACAGGGACAUCGUGUGGUGGGUAGUUUGACUGGGGUGGUCGCCUCCAAAAGAGUAACGGAGGCUCGCAAAGGUACCCUCAGCAUGGUCGGUAAUCAUGCGCAGAGCGUAUAAGUAUAAGGGUGCUUGACUGAGAGACGGACGCGUCGAACAGGGACGAAAGUCGGCUUAAGUGAUCCGGUGGUUCCGCAUGGAAGGGCCAUCGCUCAAAGGAUAAAAGGUACUCCGGGGAUAACAGGCUGAUCUCCCCCAAGAGCUCACAUCGACGGGGAGGUUUGGCACCUCGAUGUCGGCUCGUCGCAUCCUGGGGCUGGAGAAGGUCCCAAGGGUUGGGCUGUUCGCCCAUUAAAGCGGCACGCGAGCUGGGUUCAGAACGUCGCAAGACAGUUCGGUCCCUAUCUGUUGUGGGCGUAGGAGUAUUGCGGAGAUCUGACUCUAGUACGAGAGGACCGGGUUGGACGCACCGCUAGUGUACCAGUUGUGGCGCCAGCUGCAUCGCUGGGUAGCUAUGUGCGGAACGGAUAAGCACUGAAAGCAUCUAAGUGCGAAGCCAACUCCAAGAUGAGUACUCCAUUGAGGGCCCUAGAAGAUGACUAGGUUGAUAGGCUACAGGUGGAAGUAUAGUGAUGUAUGGAGCCGAGUAAUAUCGUGACUGGGAAAC
RNAcentral lists this ribosomal RNA (2731 nucleotides) under freshwater metagenome. Its description in RNAcentral is "bacterial LSU rRNA". It matches the Rfam family "Bacterial large subunit ribosomal RNA". The record is from RNAcentral.